GGAGAGCAUGUCUUGCGGCGGUGAUGGAUGAAUGGUGGUGAUUUUGGUGCGGUUCGUUUUCUCUCUUCUUCACCCUUUCUAUCGUUCUUUUUUGGAUCUAUUGGUACUAUUGAGUUGUAUUUUGUAUGGUUUUCUGACAGUUUCUCAAGGUUACGGAUCUGAGACACGAACAACAAUGGUUGCGUUUCUGGAAAGGUGGUUUUGGUGGUGGAAAGAAGGUGUUUCGAAUUCGCGACUUUAAGGGGAUUAAUUUAUGUGGUUUAUAGUUGUUAAUGGUUAAUGUUCUCAAGGUUGCGGACCUCAGAAGCGAAGAACAACGAUUGUAACACCCAAAAACCCCGACCUCUUUAUUUAUAAAAUAAUUCAAUUAAAUUUAUCAAAUAAGGCAUUGCACAUUCGUCAC
RNAcentral lists this long non-coding RNA (403 nucleotides) under Lathyrus oleraceus (garden pea). RNAcentral describes it as "Pisum sativum (pea) long non-coding RNA (PSAT_LNC032299)". Lineage: Eukaryota; Viridiplantae; Streptophyta; Magnoliopsida; Fabales; Fabaceae. The record is from RNAcentral.